GCAACAGUGAGAGCAGAGGGCUGAACAUCUCCACUUGCUUCCAACAGAUUGCUUUGAUUGAGUUCACCUUUUCACCUGCUCAGAGCUCAUGCUCACCAUGUUUGAGCUUCACUCAGUCAGUCACCUUGUUGACAUGCUGCUAAGAGGAAGUAAGACAACUUCUGUGUGGACUCAGAAGACACAACUGGUGUCAUCAGCAGGCGCUGCUGUUUAUAUUGCACGUCUGCUUGGAAGACGGCCAGCGGGGCGGGACUCAGGAUUACGUCAGACCAGUCCGGGGCCUGGAUUCUGUUUAUGAUGGGAGCCCCCCCCCCCCCUCCCCCCCCCCACACACACUUAAUUUAUGGCGUGCGAGGCGAGGAGUGAGAAGUGAGAAGUAAGCGGUGCUGGCAUGAAAAUCCUGCAUGGAGCGGCGCCAACAGACCCUCUAAAGCACACAAAAGACGCGGCACAGUUGUUUGUCACGUCUUCUGCACCUCACCAGGAGUCCUACAGGACUUCAGCGCCGGGCGACUCGGAGUGAGACCCAAGCGAGGCCAGGACAGACUUUUAGGACCACUAUCUCACCUCCACAGUCCACCUCAACACAGGAGAUCAUUUGACAGUACAAACACAAAAAUAUCACUCACUCGGCAUAACUUUACCGUAAAAACAAAAAAAUGUACAAUAAUGCUUUGUAAAAAUGACCCGAGAUUUUACAUAAAAAACUAACAACUCAGUCGCCAUCAGUUUAUCAUAACAAUAACAAUGUUGCUGUUCUUCAAUGCAUAAUAAAACACAAGUUGUAGAUUUUUAAGGGAGAACAAAUCCCUGAGAGGUCAGACAGCAACAUUUUUAAAGUGGAAAUAAUAUUUUAACGUUU
This is a long non-coding RNA of Nerophis ophidion (straightnose pipefish), 862 nucleotides long. RefSeq lists it as uncharacterized. The record is from RefSeq and is a predicted model, not a curated record. NCBI's taxonomy places the organism in Eukaryota, Metazoa, Chordata, Actinopteri, Syngnathiformes, Syngnathidae. The transcript has 3 exons.